This 482-nucleotide ribosomal RNA is filed under the name uncultured bacterium. RNAcentral describes it as "bacterial SSU rRNA". It matches the Rfam family "Bacterial small subunit ribosomal RNA", at positions 28 to 509 of the family's 1533-position model. The record is from RNAcentral.
GAUGAACGCUAGCGGCAGGCCUAACACAUGCAAGUCGAGGGGCAGCACAGGUAGCAAUACUGGGUGGCGACCGGCGGAUGGGUGCGUAACGCGUAUGCAACCUACCAUUGAUUGGGGCAUAGCCCGAAGAAAUUCGGAUUAAUACUCCAUAAUAUUCAUCAAAGGCAUCUUUUAUGAAUUAAAGCUUUUGCGAUCAAUGAUGGGCAUGCGUGACAUUAGUUAGUUGGUGAGGUAACGGCUCACCAAAACGAUGAUGUCUAGGGGUUCUGAGAGGAUUAUCCCCCACACUGGUACUGAGACACGGACCAGACUCCUACGGGAGGCAGCAGUGAGGAAUAUUGGUCAAUGGACGCAAGUCUGAACCAGCCAUGCCGCGUGCAGGAUGACGGCCCUAUGGGUUGUAAACUGCUUUUCACGGGAGAACCCUCGACGUGUCGGAGACUGACGGUACCGUGGGAAUAAGCAUCGGCUAACUCCGUGCC